This is a long non-coding RNA of Bos taurus (domestic cattle), 645 nucleotides long. NCBI's taxonomy places the organism in Eukaryota, Metazoa, Chordata, Mammalia, Artiodactyla, Bovidae. The record is from Ensembl.
AUUUUCUUCCAAGCCAAGGCUCAGACAGUCAAACAGGAGAUCCCAGGCCAGGACCACAAGGAGAUUGCACGGGAGGAGGAUGGAUGGUGAGGAAACUGGAGUGUAAGAGGUUAUGUAACGGUGUCAUGGAGGUGAAGAAUUAGAAUUCAGAUCCUGGGCUCUCCAAAUCCAGAACGCUGAUACUUCCCAGACCCUUUAGCCCAAAGUCAAGAAGACCCCAAGGUGGAGAGGGGGCCAUGCAGCAGAUGCAGAUGACCUUCUCCAUCCUCAGCGGCCCUGAGCUGGGCAUCUCCCCUUGGCCCCUCCAGACCCACACUUUGCCCUCUGCCUCUACCUGUCCUGUGUCCUGGGAGAAUGCUGUGUGGGCAACACCCACGGGCUCCCUGGUCUGGCUGGGUCCAUCAGUGGGGCAGAAGAGCAGAGGCAGGAGGAGAGUGAAUGGAAGACGUUAUUUCCCUGCUGCCUCUCUGCUUCGGGCGAGCUGUGUCCCUCUACUGACAGCCUGGCUCCUCAAGCUGCCUUCUCCAGUCAGCUCACUCCAGGUUUUGGCAUCUACUCCCACUCUUGUCCAUUCAAGCCUGGGGGUGGUGACAGCACCCUGUUUUAUUUUUUAAUAUUUGUUUAUUUAUUUGACCUCAUUGGGUC